UCGGUCAUCGAUGGGGAUGCGUUCCAUUAGGUCGUUGGCGGGGUAACGGCCCACCAAGCCUUCGAUGGAUAGGGGUUCUGAGAGGAAGGUCCCCCACAUUGGAACUGAGACACGGUCCAAACUCCUACGGGAGGCAGCAGUGAGGAAUAUUGGUCAAUGGACGAGAGUCUGAACCAGCCAAGUAGCGUGAAGGAUGACUGCCCUAUGGGUUGUAAACUUCUUUUAUACGGGAAUAAAGUGAGGCACGUGUGCCUUUUUGUAUGUACCGUAUGAAUAAGGAUCGGCUAACUCCGUGCCAGCAGCCGCGGUAAUACGGAGGAUCCGAGCGUUAUCCGGAUUUAUUGGGUUUAAAGGGAGCGUAGGCGGACGCUUAAGUCAGUUGUGAAAGUUUGCGGCUCAACCGUAAAAUUGCAGUUGACACUGGGUGUCUUGAGUACAGUAGAGGCAGGCGGAAUUCGUGGUGUAGCGGUGAAAUGCUUAGAUAUCACGAAGAACUCCGAUUGCGAAGGCAGCUUGCUGGACUGUAACUGACGCUGAUGCUCGAAAGUGUGGGUAUCAAACAGGAUUAGAUACCCUGGUAGUCCACACAGUAAACGAAGAAGACUCGCUGUUUGCGAUAUACAGUAAGCGGCCAAG
Molecule: ribosomal RNA, 636 nt
Filed under: uncultured bacterium
Lineage: Bacteria
Description: bacterial SSU rRNA
Rfam family: Bacterial small subunit ribosomal RNA
Source: RNAcentral